This is a long non-coding RNA of Phyllopteryx taeniolatus (common seadragon), 368 nucleotides long. RefSeq lists it as uncharacterized. The record is from RefSeq and is a predicted model, not a curated record. NCBI's taxonomy places the organism in Eukaryota, Metazoa, Chordata, Actinopteri, Syngnathiformes, Syngnathidae. The transcript has 3 exons.
GAAAUCUGUUGCAAUUAUCUGACAGCUAAAGUUAACCUACUAAUAUUUACCAUUAAAGAUUAUCUUCAAGUAAAAAAAUUUCAAAUUUGCGAAGAUUCUAAUGUAAAGUCCUUAAGAUCCUUGAGGAUUAUCAUAUAAGUUAUGCAUCCAGCAGACGUUCAACUCCCAUUCCAGUACGCAGUCCAAACAAAAAAGGUUGUCCUGGUUUCAAGGACAAUGGCAACCACACAAGAUCCUAUUCACCGCCACCAAAGAAUAAAAUACAGAUGUGAGUAAAACCUUGUUAGAUUUUUAUGCACAAGGUAAUAAAAACCUGGACUAUUGAGCAAACGGUAGAGGAGGGGGAGGAAGAACGUGCAGGUGUGGGA